GACGGAGGGUGCUAGCGUUGUUCGGAAUUACUGGGCGUAAAGCGUGCGCAGGCGGUUCGCUGUGUCCGAUGUGAAAGCCCCGGGCUUAACCUGGGAAUGGCAUUGGAAACUGGCGGGCUUGAGUGCGGCAGAGGGGGGUGGAAUUCCGCGUGUAGCAGUGAAAUGCGUAGAGAUGCGGAGGAACACCGAUGGCGAAGGCAGCCCCCUGGGUCGACACUGACGCUCAGGCACGAAAGCGUGGGGAGCAAACAGG
This 253-nucleotide ribosomal RNA is filed under the name uncultured bacterium. Its description in RNAcentral is "partial 16S ribosomal RNA". It matches the Rfam family "Bacterial small subunit ribosomal RNA", at positions 524 to 776 of the family's 1533-position model. The record is from RNAcentral.